CGUGGCCAUCCCUGGUCGGUUCCACUGGGAGAGGAGAGGAGGUCACCAGGCCAUGUUGGUGUGCCACGUUGGGUAUACUUGUCCUUACCAACCUCCUCAACUGUAAGAGCAACCAGAGUAACUGCCCUUCAAAUUUCUGAUAAUGUUGGAAAGAAUUGACUGCUUUGACUUUGGACCCAAACAUUUGCAAGACUGCUCGAUGUUUUAAGGACCUGUAAGGAGGCUGAGGAAUAAGACGUCUGACACAGAGAACUGUGGCUGAAACCUUCCUAAGACUGCUGCCAUUGUGCAAACCAAGUGCACACCAGUAGGAGAGCAGUGCCACAACCGAGCAAUGGCACAAAGCAUCACAGGAGGGGGAGAGAUGGUUCUGAUGUAACAGGGAGUCAGAUGGGGAGUUGACCUCUGUGCCUCCAGCAGCAAUACAACGCAUGGCCUCAGCACGAGGACAUGGGAAUGGGGUCUGAGCAGCUUUUGCAGGAUGGCUGCACAGAAUCUGUGCUGAGGAGUUC
Molecule: long non-coding RNA, 512 nt
Filed under: Gallus gallus (chicken)
Lineage: Eukaryota; Metazoa; Chordata; Aves; Galliformes; Phasianidae
Description: long non-coding RNA NONGGAT005037
Source: RNAcentral